This 253-nucleotide ribosomal RNA is filed under the name uncultured bacterium. RNAcentral describes it as "partial 16S ribosomal RNA". It matches the Rfam family "Bacterial small subunit ribosomal RNA", at positions 524 to 776 of the family's 1533-position model. The record is from RNAcentral.
UACGUAGGUGGCAAGCGUUAUCCGGAAUUAUUGGGCGUAAAGCGCGCGCAGGUGGUUUCUUAAGUCUGAUGUGAAAGCCCACGGCUCAACCGUGGAGGGUCAUUGGAAACUGGGAGACUUGAGUGCAGAAGAGGAAAGUGGAAUUCCAUGUGUAGCGGUGAAAUGCGUAGAGAUAUGGAGGAACACCAGUGGCGAAGGCGACUUUCUGGUCCGUAACUGACACUGAGGCGCGAAAGCGUGGGGAGCAAACAGG